CAAAGUGGCGUGGAAGCCACUGCCAGGAAGCGUGAGCAAGAGAAAUGGAGAGGCGGUGGUGGGUCGUGGGUUCCCGUUCUCCAUGACGGAAAGCCCGCAUUUUGAGCCUCCAAACCCGCUCCGAUCUGUAUCAAAUUUUGAGAGGGAGUUCAAUUCGUGGAGAUGAGCAUCACUACGGAGUCGGAUUCCGAAUCCAAUGGUUGGAUUUUCGGAUUUUGGUGAGCAUGUAUAGCAGAAAAUCAUCUUCCUGGGCUAAACACUAAUGCUAUCAAGAACCAUUGGAACAACCAUUUGAAGAAGAGGCUUGCGAUUACAAGUUACCUUGAGCAACAAUUCUCUACCAUGAGCGGGACCUUCCCACAGAUGAUGAGACCAGUGAUCACUCUCAUUAUCCCUAAUUUCAAAGAUAUGAUAUGAUAGUGUGGUGAUCAAUUUGACUUUUGAGGUAGGAAUUGUUGUGUUGUGUUGCAGGUGAGCAUUUAUUGCAAAAAAUCAUCUUCCAAGGCUAAACACUAAUGCUAUCAAGAACCGCUGGAACGACCAUUUGAAGAAUAGGCUUGCAAUUACAAGGUACCUUGAGCAACACCUUCUCUACCAUAAGCGGGACCUUCCCACAGAUGAUGAGACUAGUGAUCACUCUCAUUAUCCCUAAUUUCAAAGACAUGUACUUGGGACUUCGUAAGGCAUGUACUUAGGAUUCUCAUUAUCCCUAAUUUGGAAGAUAUAUGUACUUAGUACUGUCAUUUAUCCUUAAUUUGGCGAUUUCUUUAGCUGGUCAUGUGUUAAGGAAUUGAACUAAUUGCAUUUGGAUCAACAUAGGGAAUCAAAAAAGCUAGCUCGGUCAUCAAUGCCUCAAGGUCAUCUCCUUGGACAGAGUGAUCGCUAGUCUCAUCAUCCAGGAGAAGAUGUGCUCAAAGUAGAGAAGGUAUCACUUAAGGUCACUUGUAGUCGCAGGCCUCUUCUUCAAGUGGUUGUUCCAGCGGUUCUUGAUAGCAUUAGCAAAUCGGCAAGGAAGAUGAUAUUUUGCCAUAGAUGCCCAGUUGCAACACAACAUAGGAAGUCCUACCAUAGACUCAAGGUGUGUUUUGUAUUAUGCUGAUCAGGGUUUGUAGGUUGAUUUAUGAGUAUUGAGCAGUAUUCUCAUAUGAUGAUAGUGCUAAUUCCUCUCAUCAUCUACUGCAUCAACUCCAUUCUCCAAUUUUCUUACUUCAACUCUUUUGAAAUGACCUUUAAUCACAUAAUUCAACCUUGGAGUAUACAUGUUCUAAA
This is a long non-coding RNA of Vitis riparia (riverbank grape), 1269 nucleotides long. RefSeq lists it as uncharacterized. The record is from RefSeq and is a predicted model, not a curated record. The transcript has 2 exons. NCBI's taxonomy places the organism in Eukaryota, Viridiplantae, Streptophyta, Magnoliopsida, Vitales, Vitaceae.